ACCCAGGCCCACCCAGGCCCACCCAAGCCCACCCAGGCUCCCUGAGGAGCCGGGGCUGCAAGCUUCCCUGCAAGGGGGGGGCCCGAGGGAGUGCGGGCGGCUUCUGGCCAACUUUGUGAAGUUCAGAGACUCCCAGUCGUCGUAGUCAGCAGACAGGGAUGGAGAAACGGAAAUACCACCACCCUCCAGCCAAACCUGGGAGGACUGAUUGCAGGGGAGCUGCUGCUCCAGAUGUUGCACUAGAGGCGCUGCGAGUGUGAGCAGGUGGCAGUGGGCAACAUCAUGGGUUGUAGCAGAUGUUCUCAACAUUUCUUUUGAAACUUCUUUAUAUUGCCUUGCAAGAGGAGCCCUAGAGCCUCAUCCCUGGGGUAGCUACUAUGCUCUGAUGUAAGCUGUUGUCCACCAGGGAGCUUUGGCAAGAGAAUUGGCCAGAUCACCAACUUCAUCUCCACUGUAGAAAAACAACUUGAAGCUCAUCUCUGUUGAAGGCUAUUUCUUUUGCUGUAAGAGAGGCAUACAACAACUCAUUUACAAGCUGAGCUAAAGAAGAGAAAAAAAACAAAGCAUGAUGCAACCAGAGAGAAGGAUCCUGCCUGCUUCGGUAGCCCUGUCCAAAGCAGAUAUACUGUCUGUAGGACAGGGGUAGACUGAAUACCUGCUUCACUGAAUACCUGCUUCACAGCACCUUUCACAUUUUCUUGUUGGAAAGACAACCGUUGGAGAAUCAUCUUGUUACCAUCAGCAAAAAUGCAAACAAAUCAAGACAUUAAGAAUGCCACAGUGGCCAGCAGUUAAUGAUGCCAGUGUUACACAAGCUUCAGCAAAGUUUUCAAGACAGUGUGCCUCACUAGCCAGGAAUCAGGGAAGAUUGAACCUAUCCUUUUUGUCUCAGCUGUUCCUCAAAUCAGUGCAACCCCUCCAAAUUAAUGUGAAUUGAAACAUGCAUUGCCUUUUCAACUUAAUUGAGUACUUACUAUGGGUGAAUCACUGCACAAAAUAGGGGAGGGAAAAUGAGGGAGACAAGUAAGAUGUGUUUCCUGCCUUCAAUGGAUUUACAAUUAGUUUCAGGGCACUUUUUUUUUUCCCUGCUGCUCUUAAUUAAGUGUGUUUCUAAGAUAGAAAACAAAUGAAUGGAAAAGUGUAUUCUGUAAGUAUUUUAAAUCCCUUUAAUAAAAAACAAAACAAAACAGCCUAAUGUGGGCAACUCAGGACAUCUUAAUUCCAUUUGUUUGGACUUUUGAUAGGUAGGAUUUAUUUAUUCAUUCUGUAAAUAUUUGGUAGACUUUAGAGAUAUUAACACAUUAGAUUUGGAAUUAAUUGAAUUCAAUUCUCCCCCCACUCCCGAGAUAUAGAUUAUCUGUUGAAAAAUAUAUUGUGUUUGUACAUUUCUUGCAGAGUGGGUAGGUGAAUUACAUCUGUUGUCUCUGUAGGCCUCUACCUUCUGUGCCUUAGGAACCUGACAUCAUGUGAGCUAUUAGCUUCGGGAAAGGGGGAGAUUUGGAUCAAACUUGGGAAUGUUGUUCAUGGACCCAGCAUAGGGUUGGGAUAGGGGCAAAAGAGACCUGGGCAAUGACUCUGUAGGAAACUUUGGCUAUUUUGGUAUUCAUGUGUUGUCCUCUAUGCUACAAAAUUACGUUUUGUUUUUUUUUUUUUUUUGAAGACUUAUUUCUGAUCUGGGAAUAAGUCAUGAUUCUUCCAGUGUUAAGAUGCUAAUAUGACUGUAGACAUUAGACAUUUUAUGUGGUGUAUGUAACACAUUUUUGUAUGUAUGAAGCAACAAUAGACAUGUCUUUGUCUUGAGUGGUGUCCAUCUGAAUGGAAAAUGUGCCAGCUUUUUUUUUUUUUUUUUAAACAUCAUCAACAGGCUUCUUAAUUAAGCUGCCACUAUAUACUGCCAAUAGCACUGUGUGGCAUUUGAGAAAUGAAUUGUGAAGUGCCGUUUCCCUCUUAUUGAAUAAACAAUGUUGCUCCAUAUAAAAUGGAUUUAAAGUGUUCUUCGAAUGGGACAUUAUAUUGCUCCCUAAAGAAUUUGAUGAGAAUUCUCAUACUCUCCCUUUUUACUUAAUUUCCCAAAACUUUUAUUUUGCUCCUCAGUAAGGAAUAGUUCUAAUUUGACCAGUGACUUAAUUACAUGAUUCAUCCUUAAUAGGAUGAAUUGCCCUGCCCCCAAACUCCUGAUACUGGAUAUUUGUUAAUCUGAGUUAUGAAACUAUAUUUUACUACAUUGUAGGUAUGUACUUCAUGUUCUGGGAAAUUUUUUGGAGGGACCAUCUCUAUGUUCCUGGAACCUGGCACAGUGCCUGGUGCAUAGUAGAGAAUGCCUGCUUUCCUUGACUCGUGGCCUCUUCCUCCAUCUUCCAAACUAGCAGUGGUAAGUCGAAUCCUCCUCAUAUGGCAUCUGUCUGACUCUGCUCCAUUGUCACCUUUCUUUUUCACUGACUGCAGCUGGAAAACGUUCUGUACCUUUGAGGAUUCAUGUGAUUAGAUUGGGCCUACCCAAAUAAUAUAGGAUAAUCUCUCCAUCUCAAGGUCCAUAUCUCAAAACACAUCUUCAAAAUCUCUUUUGCCCAUGCAAGAUACAGUAUUUAUAGGUCCUGAAGAAUGGGACUUGGACAUCAUUGUUGGGAGGUGGGAGUUAAUGGCAUUGAUCUGCCUACCACGUGGAGUCUCUGAGAGUUCUUUCUCAUACCAAUAUUUGGAGAGUUAAUUGCAGUUCCUAGGCAUCUCCAAACUUUUAAAAUCAUGCAUGGAAAUAGUUUUAAAAGUU
Canis lupus familiaris (dog) is the source of this 2767-nucleotide long non-coding RNA. RefSeq lists it as uncharacterized. NCBI's taxonomy places the organism in Eukaryota, Metazoa, Chordata, Mammalia, Carnivora, Canidae. The record is from RefSeq and is a predicted model, not a curated record. The transcript is spliced from 7 exons.